GCACCCAUGGCCUAAUGGAUGAAGCGCUUGACUUCUAAUCAAGCGAUUGUGGGUUCGAGUCCCACUGGGUGUG
RNAcentral lists this transfer RNA (73 nucleotides) under Gossypium hirsutum (cotton). It matches the Rfam family "tRNA". Rfam says of the family: Transfer RNA (tRNA) molecules are approximately 80 nucleotides in length. Their secondary structure includes four short double-helical elements and three loops (D, anti-codon, and T loops). Further hydrogen bonds mediate the characteristic L-shaped molecular structure. tRNAs have two regions of fundamental functional importance: the anti-codon, which is responsible for specific mRNA codon recognition, and the 3' end, to which the tRNAs corresponding amino acid is attached (by aminoacyl-tRNA synthetases). tRNAs cope with the degeneracy of the genetic code in two manners: having more than one tRNA (with a specific anti-codon) for a particular amino acid; and 'wobble' base-pairing, i.e. permitting non-standard base-pairing at the 3rd anti-codon position. Lineage: Eukaryota; Viridiplantae; Streptophyta; Magnoliopsida; Malvales; Malvaceae. The record is from Rfam by way of RNAcentral.